AACGAACGCUGGCGGCAUGCCUAACACAUGCAAGUCGAACGAGAUCUUCGGGUCUAGUGGCGCACGGGUGCGUAACGCGUGGGAAUCUGCCCUUUGGUUCGGAAUAACAGUUGGAAACGACUGCUAAUACCGGAUGAUGACGAAAGUCCAAAGAUUUAUCGCCAGAGGAUGAGCCCGCGUAGGGUUAGCGAGUUGGUGUGGUAAAGGCGCACCAAGGCGACGAUCCUUAGCUGGUCUGAGAGGAUGAUCAGCCACACUGGGACUGAGACACGGCCCAGACUCCUACGGGAGGCAGCAGUGGGGAAUAUUGGACAAUGGGCGAAAGCCUGAUCCAGCAAUGCCGCGUGAGUGAUGAAGGCCUUAGGGUUGUAAAGCUCUUUUACCCGGGAUGAUAAUGACAGUACCGGGAGAAUAAGCUCCGGCUAACUCCGUGCCAGCCGCCGCAGUAA
RNAcentral lists this ribosomal RNA (449 nucleotides) under uncultured bacterium. Its description in RNAcentral is "partial 16S ribosomal RNA". It matches the Rfam family "Bacterial small subunit ribosomal RNA", at positions 29 to 523 of the family's 1533-position model. The record is from RNAcentral.